UACGUAGGGGGCAAGCGUUGUCCGGAAUCAUUGGGCGUAAAGAGCGUGUAGGCGGCCCGGUAAGUCCGCUGUGAAAGUCCAGGGCUCAACCCUGGGAUGCCGGUGGAUACUGUCGGGCUCGAGUCCGGAAGAGGAGUGUGGAAUUCCUGGUGUAGCGGUGAAAUGCGCAGAUAUCAGGAGGAACACCUGCGGUGUAGACGGCUUACUGGACCAUAACUGACGCUGAGGCACGAAAGCGUGGGUAGCAAACAGG
This 253-nucleotide ribosomal RNA is filed under the name uncultured bacterium. RNAcentral's name for it is "partial 16S ribosomal RNA". It matches the Rfam family "Bacterial small subunit ribosomal RNA", at positions 524 to 776 of the family's 1533-position model. The record is from RNAcentral.